GGAGAGAUGGCAGAGCGGUCGAUUGCGGCGGUCUUGAAAACCGUUGAGGUUAACAGCCUCCGGGGGUUCGAAUCCCUCUCUCUCCGCCU
RNAcentral lists this transfer RNA (89 nucleotides) under Bacteroidia bacterium. Its description in RNAcentral is "tRNA-Ser". It matches the Rfam family "tRNA". Rfam says of the family: Transfer RNA (tRNA) molecules are approximately 80 nucleotides in length. Their secondary structure includes four short double-helical elements and three loops (D, anti-codon, and T loops). Further hydrogen bonds mediate the characteristic L-shaped molecular structure. tRNAs have two regions of fundamental functional importance: the anti-codon, which is responsible for specific mRNA codon recognition, and the 3' end, to which the tRNAs corresponding amino acid is attached (by aminoacyl-tRNA synthetases). tRNAs cope with the degeneracy of the genetic code in two manners: having more than one tRNA (with a specific anti-codon) for a particular amino acid; and 'wobble' base-pairing, i.e. permitting non-standard base-pairing at the 3rd anti-codon position. Lineage: Bacteria; Pseudomonadati; Bacteroidota; Bacteroidia. The record is from RNAcentral.